UGAGGAAUAUUGCACAAUGGGGGCAACCCUGAUGCAGCAACGCCGCGUGGAGGAUGAAGGCCUUCGGGUCGUAAACUCCUUUUCUGGGGGAAGAGGAAGGACGGUACCCCAGGAAUAAGUCACGGCUAACUACGUGCCAGCAGCCGCGGUAAUACGUAGGUGGCAAGCGUUAUCCGGAAUUACUGGGCGUAAAGCGCGCGCAGGCGGCCUGAUAAGUCCGACGUGAAAGCUCCUGGCUUAACUGGGAGAG
Molecule: ribosomal RNA, 250 nt
Filed under: uncultured bacterium
Lineage: Bacteria
Description: partial 16S ribosomal RNA
Rfam family: Bacterial small subunit ribosomal RNA
Source: RNAcentral